RNAcentral lists this ribosomal RNA (158 nucleotides) under Parasitella parasitica. Its description in RNAcentral is "5.8S ribosomal RNA". It matches the Rfam family "5.8S ribosomal RNA". From Rfam's summary of the family: 5.8S ribosomal RNA (5.8S rRNA) is a component of the large subunit of the eukaryotic ribosome. Lineage: Eukaryota; Fungi; Mucoromycota; Mucoromycetes; Mucorales; Mucoraceae. The record is from RNAcentral.
CAACUUUUAACAACGGAUCUCUUGGUUCUCGCAUCGAUGAAGAACGUAGCAAAGUGCGAUAACUAGUGUGAAUUGCAUAUUCAGUGAAUCAUCGAGUCUUUGAACGCAACUUGCGCCCAAUGGACCCUUCCAUUGGGCACGCUUGUUUCAGUAACAGA